UACGGAGGGGGCUAGCGUUGUUCGGAAUCAUUGGGCGUAAAGGGCGCGUAGGCGGCCGAUCAAGUCGGAGGUGAAAUCCCUCGGCUCAACUGAGGAAUUGCCUUCGAUACUGUUCGGCUUGAGUCCUGGAGAGGGUAGCGGAAUUCCCGGUGUAGCGGUGAAAUGCGUAGAGACCGGGAAGAACACCGGUGGCGAAGGCGGCAUCCUGGACCAACACUGACGCUGAGGAGCGAAAGCCAGGGGAGCAAACGGG
Molecule: ribosomal RNA, 253 nt
Filed under: uncultured bacterium
Lineage: Bacteria
Description: partial 16S ribosomal RNA
Rfam family: Bacterial small subunit ribosomal RNA
Source: RNAcentral